RNA transcript from Triticum urartu, 1285 nucleotides. It is a transcript of the gene named bax inhibitor 1, with no coding region annotated. NCBI's taxonomy places the organism in Eukaryota, Viridiplantae, Streptophyta, Magnoliopsida, Poales, Poaceae. The record is from RefSeq and is a predicted model, not a curated record.
CCGAUCGUCCACGCGUGCGUCGCACCACCCUAUAUAGCCUCCGCCUCGCGUCUCACCCCUCCCAUCACCGGUAUCGAAAUCCAUCCAUCCAUCCAAAGCAGCGGAAGAAGAAGAAAAGGAAAAGAGAAAAAUCCAUCCGGAAGCGCGAGCAAAGGCCAAGGCAGCUUUGCGUGCGAGGCGAGGCGAGGCCGCUCCGAUUCGACAGACGCAGGGCAGGGAUGGACGCCUUCUACUCGACCUCGUCGGCGGCGGCGAGCGGAUGGGGCUACGACUCGCUCAAGAACUUCCGCGAGAUCUCCCCCGCCGUGCAGUCCCACCUCAAGCUCGUUUACCUGACCCUAUGCUUUGCCCUGGCCUCAUCUGCCGUGGGUGCUUACCUGCACAUUGCCCUGAACAUCGGUGGGAUGCUGACAAUGCUUGCGUGUAUUGGAACCAUUGCCUGGAUGUUCUCUGUGCCAGUCUAUGAGGAGAGGAAGAGGUUUGGGCUGCUGAUGGGUGCAGCCCUCCUGGAAGGGGCUUCGGUUGGACCUCUGAUUGAGCUUGCCAUAGACUUUGACCCAAGCAUCCUCGUGACAGGGUUUGUUGGAACCGCCAUCGCCUUUGGGUGCUUCUCUGGCGCCGCCAUCAUCGCCAAGCGCAGGGAGUACCUGUACCUCGGUGGCCUGCUCUCCUCCGGCCUGUCGAUCCUGCUCUGGCUGCAGUUUGCCACGUCCAUCUUUGGCCACUCCUCUGGCAGCUUCAUGUUUGAGGUUUACUUUGGCCUGUUGAUCUUUCUGGGAUACAUGGUGUACGACACGCAGGAGAUCAUCGAGAGGGCGCACCACGGCGACAUGGACUACAUCAAGCACGCGCUCACCCUCUUCACCGACUUUGUCGCCGUCCUUGUCCGGAUCCUCAUCAUCAUGCUCAAGAACGCAGGCGACAAGUCGGAGGACAAGAAGAAGAGGAAGAGGAGGUCCUGAACGUGUUGUCCUCUGCACAUCGUAGAUACCAUCACCGCCGCCGCCGCUACUGGUAGUUGGCUCGACUGGCACAUCCAACUUGCCCUGGACCUGCCGCUGCGUUUCGGCCAGGCAUCUGAUAGUAGAGCUGUAAAACUAGUUUUUCCCCAACGUGGUUGCCGCGUCCGCCAGUUUUAGGGCGUGUUUGGUUGCAGUAGUGAACAAUUUGUUUCGUUGUCUGUAUGCCCUCUUGUCUGCAUGCAUGGGCUAAAUCACACUGCCUGAUAUUUUGUUGUAUGCAUGUUAGUGAACAAACCCAAGACAUGGUGUUUGAUUGUGUGUAA